GGGGGUCCCUGGGGCUUUGUAGCAUGAGUGCACAGUGCUGAUGGAUCAGCGGGUCGGUGAAUGUUUAUGAAACACCAUCCGUUCGCUCAUCUUGUUUAUUCAUACGUGGCAGUCAUUGGUUCUAGGGUCUGUGGGCGACACAAAGGGACUAUAAUGCAUGGUCCUUACAGUGGCGGACAUCUGAUGCUUUGUGAACCCCCGUCCCCUCCUCUGACCACAGCACCAGGUGCCCUUAGAGGGCCCCCCUCACUCCUGUUCAGGGGGUUGGGUGGGGGAGGGCCACAGUUAGAGGUGUUCAGAGGUGGGUCGGCCCUGGGCCUUGGGUGGACACUUUCUUCCCUCUGGGCUUGUACAGGUGGAUGGAUGCGACGGCCUGGAGAUGCCGAGGGCUGUCCUGCCAGCUCGUGGGGAGACCCCGUCCACCAGCAGCGUGGAAGCAGCAGGGCCAGGAGAUGGAGAAUCCAGAGAGAUUUCUUCACCUACAGGACCCAGCUGGGCAUGUCUCUGGACUUCUCAGGGUCAUGAGGAAUCGAUGAGUCCACCGAGUAAGCGGCUGCAUUAACAGGUAUGAUAUUACACACGCCUGGUCCCGGCGACAUGAUGGGGGAGGGAAGGGGCACGUUGGGAGAAAACACCAGUGGGGGAGCACCUCUAGGCUGAGCAAACGACUGCGUGUGGCUGUCUCCACCUCUGCUGCUCUCUGGACCCUGGGCAUCACUGUCCCUGUGCCUGCAGGCUUGUGAAUGACAACCACCUAUCCCUGAGGUCUGGGACACUGGAGUCCACACCCCAUGGCAAUUUCACUUAAAAAAGAAAUCAUUGUGUCUUGGGGGCUCCUAUGUGGCUCCCCCCGCCUUUUUUUUUUAAUAAAGGUUGUUACUUUUUUAAUCGUGGUAAAACA
Molecule: long non-coding RNA, 901 nt
Filed under: Felis catus (domestic cat)
Lineage: Eukaryota; Metazoa; Chordata; Mammalia; Carnivora; Felidae
Description: lncRNA (ENSFCAG00000041976.2)
Source: RNAcentral